RNAcentral lists this transfer RNA (69 nucleotides) under Rattus norvegicus (Norway rat). It matches the Rfam family "tRNA". Rfam says of the family: Transfer RNA (tRNA) molecules are approximately 80 nucleotides in length. Lineage: Eukaryota; Metazoa; Chordata; Mammalia; Rodentia; Muridae. The record is from Rfam by way of RNAcentral.
GGAGGUUUAGCUCAGUGGUAGAGCACUUGCCUAGCAAGCGCAAGGCCCUGGGUUCAGUCCCCAGCUCCG